UAAUACGUAGGGCGCGAGCGUUGUCCGGAAUUAUUGGGCGUAAAGAGCUCGUAGGCGGCCUGUUGCGUCCGCUGUGAAAUCCCGGGGCUUAACCCCGGGCGUGCAGUGGAUACGGGCAGGCUGGAGGCAGGCAGGGGAGAACGGAAUUCCCGGUGUAGCGGUGAAAUGCGCAGAUAUCGGGAGGAACACCGGUGGCGAAGGCGGUUCUCUGGGCCUGAUCUGACGCUGAGGAGCGAAAGCGUGGGGAGCAAACAGGAUUAGAUACCCUGGUAGUCCACGCCGUAAACGUUGGGCGCUAGGUGUGGGUCCCUUCCACGGGGUCUGUGCCGCAGCUAACGCAUUAAGCGCCCCGCCUGGGGAGUACGGCCGCAAGGCUA
RNAcentral lists this ribosomal RNA (377 nucleotides) under uncultured bacterium. RNAcentral describes it as "bacterial SSU rRNA". It matches the Rfam family "Bacterial small subunit ribosomal RNA", at positions 521 to 896 of the family's 1533-position model. The record is from RNAcentral.